GUAGCUCAGCUGGAUAGAGCAACGCCCUUCUAAGGCGUGGGCCAGGGGUUCGAAUCCCUUAAGACGCACCA
RNAcentral lists this transfer RNA (71 nucleotides) under Agrobacterium sp. RNAcentral describes it as "tRNA-Arg". It matches the Rfam family "tRNA". From Rfam's summary of the family: Transfer RNA (tRNA) molecules are approximately 80 nucleotides in length. Their secondary structure includes four short double-helical elements and three loops (D, anti-codon, and T loops). Lineage: Bacteria; Pseudomonadati; Pseudomonadota; Alphaproteobacteria; Hyphomicrobiales; Rhizobiaceae. The record is from RNAcentral.